GAUGAAGACGCAGCGAAAUGCGAUAAGUAAUGUGAAUUGCAGAAUUCAGUGAAUCAUCGAAUCUUUGAACGCACAUUGCGCCCGCCAGUAUUCUGGCGGGCAUGCCUGUUCGAGCGUCAUUACAACCCUCAGGCCCCCGGGCCUGGCGUUGGGGAUCGGCGGAAGCCCCCUGUGGGCACACGCCGUCCCUCAAAUACAGUGGCGGUCCCGCCGCAGCUUCCAUUGCGUAGUAGCUAACACCUCGCAACUGGAGAGCGGCGCGGCCAUGCCGUAAAACACCCAACUUCUGAAUGUUGACCUCGAAUCAGGUAGGAAUACCCGCUGAACUUAAGCAUAUCAAUAAGCGGAGGA
This 351-nucleotide unclassified non-coding RNA is filed under the name soil metagenome. RNAcentral's name for it is "partial contains 5.8S ribosomal RNA, internal transcribed spacer 2, and large subunit ribosomal RNA". The stretch from base 1 to 119 matches the Rfam family "5.8S ribosomal RNA", at positions 35 to 154 of the family's 154-position model. The record is from RNAcentral.